Molecule: ribosomal RNA, 253 nt
Filed under: uncultured bacterium
Lineage: Bacteria
Description: partial 16S ribosomal RNA
Rfam family: Bacterial small subunit ribosomal RNA
Source: RNAcentral
UACGUAGGGUACGAGCGUUGUCCGGAAUUAUUGGGCGUAAAGAGCUCGUAGGUGGUUGGUCACGUCUGCUGUGGAAACGCAACGCUUAACGUUGCGCGGGCAGUGGGUACGGGCUGACUAGAGUGCAGUAGGGGAGUCUGGAAUUCCUGGUGUAGCGGUGAAAUGCGCAGAUAUCAGGAGGAACACCGGUGGCGAAGGCGGGACUCUGGGCUGUAACUGACACUGAGGAGCGAAGGCUCGGGUAGCGAUAAGG